GUGUGGGGACCAUUCCACGGUUUCCGCGCCGCAGCUAACGCAUUAAGUGCCCCGCCUGGGGAGUACGGCCGCAAGGCUAAAACUCAAAGGAAUUGACGGGGGCCCGCACAAGCGGCGGAGCAUGCGGAUUAAUUCGAUGCAACGCGAAGAACCUUACCAAGGCUUGACAUGUUCUCGAUCGCCGUAGAGAUACGGUUUCCCCUUUGGGGCGGGAUCACAGGUGGUGCAUGGUUGUCGUCAGCUCGUGUCGUGAGAUGUUGGGUUAAGUCCCGCAACGAGCGCAACCCUCGUUCCAUGUUGCCAGCACGUAAUGGUGGGGACUCAUGGGAGACUGCCGGGGUCAACUCGGAGGAAGGUGGGGACGACGUCAAAUCAUCAUGCCCCUUAUGUCUUGGGCUUCACGCAUGCUACAAGGGCCGGUACAAUGGGUUGCGAUACUGUGAGGUGGAGCUAAUCCCAAAAAGCCGGUCUCAGUUCGGAUUGGGGUCUGCAACUCGACCCCAUGAAGUCGGAGUCGCUAGUAAUCGCAGAUCAGCAACGCUGCGGUGAAUACGUUCCCGGGCCUUGUACACACCGCCCGUCAAGUCACGAAAGUCGGUAACACCCGAAGCCGGUGGCCUAACCCUUGUGGGGGGAGCCGUCGAAGGUGGGGCUG
This 655-nucleotide ribosomal RNA is filed under the name uncultured bacterium. RNAcentral describes it as "bacterial SSU rRNA". It matches the Rfam family "Bacterial small subunit ribosomal RNA", at positions 820 to 1470 of the family's 1533-position model. The record is from RNAcentral.